UGGGGUGAGGCUCAGUGGUAGAGCACUAGCUUAAUGAGCAGGAGACCCUGGGUUUGAUUCUCAGCACCAUAA
Molecule: non-coding RNA, 72 nt
Organism: Ictidomys tridecemlineatus (thirteen-lined ground squirrel)
Lineage: Eukaryota; Metazoa; Chordata; Mammalia; Rodentia; Sciuridae
Source: Rfam